Molecule: ribosomal RNA, 456 nt
Filed under: uncultured bacterium
Lineage: Bacteria
Description: bacterial SSU rRNA
Rfam family: Bacterial small subunit ribosomal RNA
Source: RNAcentral
GAGUUUGAUCUUGGCUCAGAUUGAACGCUGGCGGCAGGCCUAACACAUGCAAGUCGGGCGGUAGAGAGAAGCUUGCUUCUCUUGAGAGCGGGCGGACGGGUGAGUAAUGCCUAGGAAUCUGCCUGGUAGUGGGGGAUAACGCUCGGAAACGGACGCUAAUACCGCAUACGUCCUACGGGAGAAAGCAGGGGACCUUCGGGCCUUGCGCUAUCAGAGUGAGCCUAGGUCGGAUUAGCUAGUUGGUGAGGUAAUGGCUCACCAAGGCGACGAUCCGUAACUGGUCUGAGAGGAUGAUCAGUCACACUGGAACUGAGACACGGUCCAGACUCCUACGGGAGGCAGCAGUGGGGAAUAUUGGACAAUGGGCGAAAGCCUGGAUCCAGCCAUGCCGCGUGUGUGAAGAAGGUCUUCGGAUUGUAAAGCAACUUUAAGUUGGGAGGAAGGGCAGUAAAUUAA